GGAUUAGGCAUGCAAGUCGCACGAGAAAGGUUUCUUCGGAAGCCGAGUACAGUGGCGAACGGGUGAGUAAUGCAUAGACAACUCGCCCUUGAGAUGGGGACAACGCCUCGAAAGGGGUGCUAAUACCCAAUGCCGCCUUGGGCCCGCGGGUCCAGGGUGAAAGGAGGCCUCUGAUUCAAGCUUCCGCUCAAGGAGAGGUUUAUGUCCUAUUAGCUAGUUGGCGGGGUAACGGCCCACCAAGGCUGCGAUGGGUAGCCGACCUGAGAGGGUGACCGGCCACAUUGGGACUGAGACACUGCCCAGAUUCCUACGGGAGGCUGCAGUCGAGAAUCUUCCGCAAUGCGCGCAAGCGUGACGGAGCGACGCCGCGUGGGUGAUGAAGGCCUUCGGGUUGUAAAACCCUGUCAGCUACUACGAAACACGGGCGAUGAACAAUCGUCCCGUCUGACUUAAGUAGCAGAGGAAGCACCGGCUAACUACGUGCCAGCAGCCGCGGUAAUACGUAGGGUGCAAACGUUGUUCGGAAUCACUGGGCAUAAAGGGCGCGUAGGCGGUCUGAUAAGUCGGGUGUGAAAUCCCUCGGCCUAACCGAGGAACUGCAUUUGAUACUGUCGGGCUAGAGUACAGGAGGGGAGAGUGGAAUUCCUGGUGGAGCGGUGAAAUGCGUAGAUAUCAGGAGGAACGCCGGCGGCGAAAGCGACUCUCUGGCCUGUUACUGACGCUGAGGCGCGAAAGCUAGGGGAGCAAACGGGAUUAGAUACCCCGGUAGUCCUAGCCCUAAACGAUGGGCACUAAGUAGAGGGGUUUU
RNAcentral lists this ribosomal RNA (808 nucleotides) under uncultured Planctomycetota bacterium. RNAcentral's name for it is "bacterial SSU rRNA". It matches the Rfam family "Bacterial small subunit ribosomal RNA", at positions 46 to 832 of the family's 1533-position model. Lineage: Bacteria; Pseudomonadati; Planctomycetota. The record is from RNAcentral.